RNAcentral lists this long non-coding RNA (6548 nucleotides) under Homo sapiens (human). RNAcentral describes it as "HSALNT0146828". The record is from RNAcentral. Lineage: Eukaryota; Metazoa; Chordata; Mammalia; Primates; Hominidae.
CAACAAACAAGUUAGAAAGAGGCAAACAAGAAACAGAAAUUUUCUUUUUUAAUAGGGAGAAAAAAAUUACACUGAUAAUUGCCUAAAAAUUAUAUUCAUUUUCCAAGUGAAUAAAUGAGGCUUAUUUGAUAUCACACGAGUACAUAGUAUUUCUUCUCAAAAACGCUUAAAUUUUAUAUUUUAAAAAUAUGCACAAAUAUAAUGGAAUCAAAGUAGUUUAAGACUGUAAACAUUUUAACCUGAAAAUACUUCAGUUUAAAAUCCUAAUUUGAGAAGUCCUUUCUCCACAUGGUUGUAUACCUUGAAGGAAACUGUGAACACAGGUCGCAAACCAGUCUCUGUCCUGGAAAUGAGUGAGUGAUAUUGAUCUAUACCCAGUCACUGAUUAUGCGAAGUCUCUAAUGACACCUUCACAGCUUUUAUAAUCCAGUGGUCCAACAAAGCAUGAAUUUCAAAUACUUUACAAAAUCUUCCCUCCUGAGCAUCUCUUUUUUUAAUUAAAGAAUAAAAGGAGUGAUUGUUCAACAUGAUUUCAAUGAAAAUGAAGACUUGAAUUUGUGGGUGUGUGCAAUGUUGAAAAUCAAAAGGAAAAAGAUGCAGCACAAAAAAAUCCUUCGCACAACUAAUCAGAUGACAAAGGUUUUGAUCAGCGCGCAAGAACCAAGUGCUUUUCUUUGCUAAACGUAAAACAACGUUUGUCCAAGACUACGAUUUCAUACAAUGUGCUUCUCAUCCCACCUUAAGUUGUUUCUCUUUUAAACACUAAUUUUUGCUAUCUACUGCUUCAACAUUCAGAAGAGCCUGCCUCAGGAGGCACAAAAGCUCUGUAAUGCUGGGUUAAAGCUGGCACUUUAUCCUUAACUCACCUCAUUAAGUCUGGAUUUUAUUCGUCCUCAAAGACGUGGCUUGGAGAUAGAAUUCUAACCCCCUUAAAUUAGAAUUUUCUGGCUUUUGUCACUUUAAACCAGAUCCUUAAUGUUAUUAAAAGGUGGGCAUGUUGUUGUUUUUCCCCUUUUGGGGGAAGGGGUAGGGAGAAGAAUUUAAUGUUAUUUUUAACGGAACUAUCUUGUUAACCUUGGGGGACAUCCCCGGAGCUGAAACCCAUUGGAGUAAUAAUAGCUCAGCGACUCACUCCCUGCAGACAGCUCUGCCGAGUCAGUCUGGAAAAGCUCUUUAAAAGCACAGUCUCUGCUGGCCCUUUUCUUUUGGUUUCUGUGGAAUUUUUCUUGGUAACAAUUUUUAGCUGAGGGGGUUAUGGACAAUUGUAAACUGGAAGCAUUGAAAGGAGGAGGUGGGGAGGGAGGCUGCUUGCUGCACUAAUUAAAACAAAGCCUGCUUGUAUAAACUGCAUCCCCCCUGGUGCAAAGGGGCAAACAGCACAAGGGCCUCUCAGAGCACACAGCUCUGGAUACUGCAGGGACUUAUAUUUUUAAAUACAAUUAAAAGUAAUGCCCCUUUGUUGAUUAUACUCUCCUUGCCAAACUUGAGGACGGCUGAAGCUGCCAAACAUUUACUUUUAAAUUUAGUGUGCCCAGCAGCCUUCCAAAUGCUGUCAGUUUCACAGAAGGCAGGGCAGUCUGUGAUUAACAGCUUCCCAAGAUACCAGUAAGUUGCUUGGACAAUAUUUCAAAUGGAUGCUGGUUCUGACACUGAGGAGAUCAAGCCGGAAUUUGGUGUCACUUUGGGGUUUAGAAGGAGGUGGGAUUGUUCUUACCUCUUGAUAGUACACAAGUUUGAAAGUGGAAAACAUUACCAAAGCAAACUCCUCAAUUACACAUGUGCAAGCAGCAGAGAGUAUCUGGUCCAGACCUAACUAAAAAAAACUUGUCAAAUGAAAGAGAAAUGCACAAACAUGCCUGUACUUUGUCCUCUGAAUUUUAAAAGCAUCUAAUGUUACAUAGCUCAUGUGAACUUUAAAGCACGGCCAUCCAUGAAGGAUUCCCUUUAUGGUUUUAGUGGUUGUCCUCUUUCCUUGCUGUUCACAACUAUGAUUAUUUUAUAAACCCUUUUGUAGCUGGGUUUAUUUGAUUUAACCUUUUAAAUGUAGCUUCGUUUCUGACAAUACAGGAAAUAUAACGCCAAAAGAAACUCUGUAGAGAAGAUGGAUGAGAGAAUCAGACACACAAUUUGAAAUGAGAUGUCCUGGGAAGACAACAAACUUAUUUGGGACUUUCUUGAUUUUUCCAGUGUGACUGUCUAUAAAGCUGAAUGCCAAGUUUUGAUUCCUAGGUUUUAUGUGGUUGCAUAGGUAACAAACUAAUACUUGGCGAGGUGUUCUUUUUUUUUUCUUUCUGAUGAAAAAUGCAGGCUUGAAAAACAAGGUGCAGCAUCCGUUUUCAAUUAAAAAAAAUAAAAAUUUAAAACCUCUCCCUCUGGGCCUGGUACUGAGCCAGGUAAGAAAAUGAGAUGGGUGUGGUCACUAAGAAAGCAAUAAGAUGAAAAUACUCUUCUGCUUGAAGUAGCUUUAUAUUUUAGUGGGUUUUCCCUCAUUCCAAUAAAGAAAGUUACACUAUGCUAUCACUUUAUUUUUAAAUAUUUUCUUUUAAAAUCCAUUUCCUUUGAAUUUUUGCCAAUUCUCAAGGACGCCGCAUUUGACUUCUAUUUUCUCUGUGCAUCUCUGAUUUCUGUUCGAUCCCACAGGAGUAAAUAUUUGACAUCCAGCCAUUCCCAGGGGUGGCAGAGCAAUGUACUAAACACAGAGACGUUUCACUUCACCAAGAAAUGAAGUCAGGCUCCAGGGGAUAAACAGCCAUCCAUAAAUAACCUCUCAGAAGUAGCCUAAGGAACGUGUCCUGCAAAGAAAUCCUGGCUCAGUACAUUCUAUUUUGUUUAUUUUGCAUAAAAGUUUUCUUUGUCUAGAUUUGCACCAGCAUGAAAACACUUCCAGCAAAAUACAGUUAAUACAACACAAAACCAAGUAGAAAAAAAGAAAAAAGUCCCACCUGAAAGAAAAUUGACUGUUGCCCUUUGAAAUGCCAAGAGAAAACAGACUUACCUGACAUUCUAAUGACUUUAAAAAGUGGUGAGAAGAGGAAAAGAACAUGAAGGGAAUUUCAUGCCAGGUGACAUCAAGGCAGAGAAGACAUCUUGCUUAACAUUUUGGAUUCAAGGGAAUGAGGUACACUACUAGUCUGUGAUCCCAUACCUCACAUAAAAUAAAAAUUUAACUCAGAAUAAAACAUAGACCUAAAUGUAAGAGCUAAAACUAUGAAACAUCUCUAAAAACUAGAAGAAAAUCUUCAUUGUUUUGAGUUAGGCAAAGAUUUCUUAGGUCACAGAAGGCACAAACCAUUAAAGAAAAUAUUGGUAUAUUUAUUUAACUUCAUGAAAAUGUAAAAACUUCUCAAAGACAUCGUUAACAGAAAUAAACGGACAAGUCACAGACUGGGAGAUAAUAUUUGCAAAGCACCUAACUUCUGAAGACUUGUAUCCAGAAUACAUAAAGAACUAUUGUGACUAAAGGAUACAAAAAAAAAAAAAUUAAAGAGGAGCAAAGAUUUGAACAGACACCGUACCAAAGAAGUGAUACAGCUGGCAAAUAAGGACAUGAAAAGAUACUAAAUAUCAUUAGUCAUUUGGUAAAUCAAAACCAAAACCACAGUGAGAUACCACUACAUUUCAACUUGAAUGGCUAAAAUCAAAGACAGGCAAUACCAAGUUCUGGGAGAAUGUGCAAGUGCAAAAUGGUAUAGACACUUGGGAAAACAGUUGGGUAAUUUCUUGAAACUUUACACAUACUCCUACUAUAUAAUUCAGUCAUUCUGCUCCUAGAUAUUUACAUAUAUGACUACACAAAAUUCUGUAAGUAAAUGCUUACAGCAGCUUUAUUCAUAAUAACCAACAAGCGAAUACAACACAAAUAUCCAUUAACUGAUGAAGAAUAAAGAAAUUGUGAUAUAUCCAUACAAUGGAAUAAUAUUCUGCAAUAAAAAAAUAAACUACUGAUACAAGCAACAACAUGAAUGAAUGUCAAAAGCAUUAUGCCAGUGAAAGAAGACAGACACAAAAGGCUAUAUAUUGUAUGAUCCCUUUUAUGAUAUCCUGGAAAAGGCAAAACUGUGAGGCACAAAGCAGAUAAGGAGAUGCCACGGGAUGGUAGAGAUGAAGAUAUUGACUUCCAAGGUGCCAUAUAAGGGAAUUUGGAGGGAUGGUAGAAAUCUGUAUCUUGAUAAUGAGGCUGGUUACAUGACUAUAAACGUUGAAAACUCAAUGUUCAUGCUAAAAAGAAAAUUAGUCGAGAGUAAAAGAGAAUUGGGCAGCUUAAAAGAGAAUUUGUAAAGUAGAAGAUUGUUCUGAACCAAGAAUAACAAUGCAGCAUAUGGAGUUUCACAGAUAGAAAAUUUCAAAAAGCAGUUAACAGAUAAUUAGGGUAACAGAUAAUAGUCUAACAUAUAGUCAAUAGGGAUUCCGAAAGGAAAGACUUAGAGAAUGUUGAAAGAAAAUUACUAUCAAAUAGCUAAAUUAUCAUUCAAAUGCACUAGAAAAAUACAUUUUCAAUGAAAUAAAAAAUUAAGUAAUUUAUCCCUAAUAGAUCACCCUAAGAAUACUAAAGGAAGAAAACUGAACCAGAAGAAAGGAGUGAAAUGCAAAAUAAUAAUAAUAAUAUCAGGCAUAGAAGUUGGUAAGCAUGUGAGUAAGUCUAAAUAAUAAUCUACUAUAUAAAAUAAUUACUAUUUUGGCAGUGUAAAGCAUGAUAGAAACAAAAUACUAGACUAUAGUCACAUGUAAAAUGGAAGUAAAGUAAAUAAUCCAAGUGAAAGCAUUUAAAUAUUCUUUCAUUUUUGGGAAGAGGCUAGAGACAUUUUCGAUUUUAUUCAUUCAGAUACGCUUCUUCAGCUUUCACUGACAGUACAGAAAAAGAGUAUAUACAUAUCAAAUAAGUAGAAGAACAAAAGCAAAUUAAAGCCUAAUCAAUCCACUGGUUGUUACAGGGGUUGAGGGAAAGGAGGCUCUCCCCAAGUCUCCAUUCUCCAGUGCUCCCUUAAGAACAGUUACGAGUAACCAUAGGCUUAGAGGGCCACAUUCUGUAGUCGCCAUUAUUAGUUAGCCAGGGGCUAAAUUCUUGCUGGUAAAAAGUAAGCAGUAGUUGUCGGAUGGGAAUUCCAAGGAAGCUCUUUAAAUCACUGUCCAACAGAAAUAUAAAGUGAGCCACACAUGAAAACUUGAUAUGUAAUUUAAUUUUUUCUAGUAGCUGCCUUAAAAAAGUAGGAAGAGACAGGUUAAUUUUUUUAAUUUAAUUUUAGAGAUAGGGUCUUGUUCUGUCACCUAGGCUCAAGUGCAGUGGCGCUAUCAUAGCUCACUGCAGCCUUGAAAUCCUAGCCUCAAGCAAUCCUCCUGCCUCAAUCUUCCAAAGUGCUGGGAUUACAGGCUUGAGUCACCAUGCCUGGGCUAUUAAUUUGAAUAAUGUACUUUAUAUAAACCAAUAUAUCCAAAAUAUUAUUUCAACAUGAAAUCAAUAUAAUAAAUGGUUAACUUCCAUAUUUUUUGUAUGAAAUCUUGAAAUUCUGGUGUGCAUUUUACACUUUCAGCACAUUUCAGUUCAGGCUAUGCCCAUUUCAAAUGCUCAAUAGCCACAUACAGCUGGUGGCUAUCAUAUUAGGGAGCAGAGUUUUAAAUGGACAAGUAUUUUGUGUUCUCCUGCCUGUCUUCUUUUUCUGAAAUGCAAUACAUUUGUGUUGGCUGGAACUUCAGCAACUCUCCUAGACUCUGAGUUUCCUUGAGGUCAGAAGCUAUGGAAGCUGAAUUCUGGAUGCCUUUGUAAUCCACUUAGCAGCCACAGGCUGCCAAAGUCUGGAUUUCUUUUACAUGGCUAUAAUAAUAUCAGACAAUACAAACUAUGCCAAAAGUCAUUCAUAGUGAUGAAAAGGGCCAAUAGAUAAUAACAGGAAGAUAGGGAGACAGUACAGUAUAUUGGUAAAGGGCAUGUUUUUAGGAACCAUAAUAUCUAGGUACAAAUCCUGAUGUCUCCAGGUACUGAGAACUUGAAUAAGUUAUUUAAGCUCUCCAAACUUUUCCUCAACCAUAAAAUUGGGAUAGUAACACCUCUCUCAGAGUUAUUGUAAUGACUAAGUUAAUGUAUGUAACAUAUUUAGAUUAUGUGAGUUGCACAGUAAUUACUUUGUAAGAGUCAGCUCUUGUUAAAUCUUUAGGAAAAUAUAAUAAUUCUAAACUUGUAAACACUUAACAAUGUAAACUUCAAAUAUAUAAAGCAAAAUUGGCAAGAUCAUGCAGAGUGGUUGAUAAAUCCACACUCCUAGUUCAAGAGUUUGAUACUUCUCCCAGUGACUGACAAAUAGAGCAGACAAAGAACAAAAAAAAGUGAAUAAAUAAAUGUGAUUAGUGUGCCUUUGACAAGCUUUAAAUUUGGUGGCCUUCAAAUUUUAAACUGGGCUGCUUGACAGCUAUCACAAAUAUGAAAACAUAUCAGUUAGGAUAAUUUUUAUUACUGGGAAAAAAGAACACUAUUUUCUUAGGUUUACUAUGCUACUUAUAUUUGAGGAAUUAUGAAACAUCUAUGUGCUCAAUUUUUUAGUUUCCUCCCAUUCUAU